RNAcentral lists this ribosomal RNA (1391 nucleotides) under Parabacteroides distasonis. RNAcentral describes it as "16S ribosomal RNA". It matches the Rfam family "Bacterial small subunit ribosomal RNA". The record is from RNAcentral. Lineage: Bacteria; Pseudomonadati; Bacteroidota; Bacteroidia; Bacteroidales; Tannerellaceae.
GGCGACCGGCGCACGGGUGAGUAACGCGUAUGCAACUUACCUAUCAGAGGGGGAUAACCCGGCGAAAGUCGGACUAAUACCGCAUGAAGCAGGGGCCCCGCAUGGGGAUAUUUGCUAAAGAUUCAUCGCUGAUAGAUAGGCAUGCGUUCCAUUAGGCAGUUGGCGGGGUAACGGCCCACCAAACCGACGAUGGAUAGGGGUUCUGAGAGGAAGGUCCCCCACAUUGGUACUGAGACACGGACCAAACUCCUACGGGAGGCAGCAGUGAGGAAUAUUGGUCAAUGGGCGUAAGCCUGAACCAGCCAAGUCGCGUGAGGGAUGAAGGUUCUAUGGAUCGUAAACCUCUUUUAUAAGGGAAUAAAGUGCGGGACGUGUCCCGUUUUGUAUGUACCUUAUGAAUAAGGAUCGGCUAACUCCGUGCCAGCAGCCGCGGUAAUACGGAGGAUCCGAGCGUACGGAUUUAUUGGGUUUAAGGGUGCGUAGGCGGCCUUUUAAGUCAGCGGUGAAAGUCUGUGGCUCAACCAUAGAAUUGCCGUUGAAACUGGGGGGCUUGAGUAUGUUUGAGGCAGGCGGAAUGCGUGGUGUAGCGGUGAAAUGCUUAGAUAUCACGCAGAACCCCGAUUGCGAAGGCAGCCUGCCAAGCCAUGACUGACGCUGAUGCACGAAAGCGUGGGGAUCAAACAGGAUUAGAUACCCUGGUAGUCCACGCAGUAAACGAUGAUCACUAGCUGUUUGCGAUACACUGUAAGCGGCACAGCGAAAGCGUUAAGUGAUCCACCUGGGGAGUACGCCGGCAACGGUGAAACUCAAAGGAAUUGACGGGGGCCCGCACAAGCGGAGGAACAUGUGGUUUAAUUCGAUGAUACGCGAGGAACCUUACCCGGGUUUGAACGCAUUCGGACCGAGGUGGAAACACCUUUUCUAGCAAUAGCCGUUUGCGAGGUGCUGCAUGGUUGUCGUCAGCUCGUGCCGUGAGGUGUCGGCUUAAGUGCCAUAACGAGCGCAACCCUUGCCACUAGUUACUAACAGGUAAAGCUGAGGACUCUGGUGGGACUGCCAGCGUAAGCUGCGAGGAAGGCGGGGAUGACGUCAAAUCAGCACGGCCCUUACAUCCGGGGCGACACACGUGUUACAAUGGCGUGGACAAAGGGAUGCCACCUGGCGACAGGGAGCGAAUCCCCAAACCACGUCUCAGUUCGGAUCGGAGUCUGCAACCCGACUCCGUGAAGCUGGAUUCGCUAGUAAUCGCGCAUCAGCCAUGGCGCGGUGAAUACGUUCCCGGGCCUUGUACACACCGCCCGUCAAGCCAUGGGAGCCGGGGGUACCUGAAGUCCGUAACCGCGAGGAUCGGCCUAGGGUAAAACUGGUGACUGGGGCUAAGUCGUAACAAG